Molecule: ribosomal RNA, 440 nt
Filed under: uncultured bacterium
Lineage: Bacteria
Description: partial 16S ribosomal RNA
Rfam family: Bacterial small subunit ribosomal RNA
Source: RNAcentral
CCUACGGGAGACAGCAGUGGGGGAUAUUGCACAAUGGGGGAAACCCUGAUGCAGCGACGCCGCGUGUGGGAAGACGGUCCUCUGGAUUGUAAACCACUGUCCCCAGGGACGAAGAUGACGGUACCUGGGGAGGAAGCUCCGGCUAACUACGUGCCAGCAGCCGCGGUAAUACGUAGGGAGCGAGCGUUGUCCGGAAUUACUGGGUGAAAGGGGAGCGUAGGCGGGACUGCAAGUUGGGUGUCAAAUCUACCGGCUCAACCGGUAGCCGCACUCAAAACUGGAGUUCUUGAGUGAAGUAGAGGCAGGCGGAAUUCCUAGUGUAGCGGUGAAAUGCGUAGAUAUUAGGAGGAACACCAGUGGCGAAGGCGGCCUGCUGGGCUUUUACUGACGCUGAGGCUCGAAAGUGUGGGGAGCAAACAGGAUUAGAUACCCCUGUAGUC